Non-coding RNA from Saimiri boliviensis boliviensis (Bolivian squirrel monkey), 455 nucleotides. The record is from RefSeq and is a predicted model, not a curated record. Lineage: Eukaryota; Metazoa; Chordata; Mammalia; Primates; Cebidae.
CUGCACUGGGAGCAGCUCUUCUGCCACAGCUCCUCACCUGCUGAAAAUGUAUGCUUGCUCCAAGUUCGUCUCCACUCCCUCCUUGGUCAAGAGCACCUCACAGCUGCUGAGCCAUCCACUAUCCUCAGUGGUGCUGAAACAGCCGGAGACACUGACAGAUGAGAGUCUCAGCAGCUUGGCAGUCUCACGUCUCCUUACCUCACUUGUCCCUAGCCACAGCUUCCAAACCUGCACCAUUUCAAGGGAAAUCACAACAGCCAAGUUCAUUGGGGCUGGGGCUGCCGUCAUUGGCGUGGCUGGCUCUGGGGCUGGGAUUGGGACUGUGUUUGGGAGACUUAUCAUUGGUUAUGCCAGGGACAUUUCUCUGAAGCGGCAGCUCUUCUCCUACACCCUUCUGGGAGGCCUUGGAGCUCUUUUGCCUGAUGGUGGCCUUUCUCAUCCUCUUUGCCUUGUGA